UACAGAGGGGGCAAGCGUUGUUCGGAAUUACUGGGCGUAAAGGGCGCGUAGGCGGCCCGCUAAGUCGAACGUGAAAUCCCCAGGCUCAACCUGGGAACUGCGUCCGAUACUGGCAGGCUUGAAUCCGGGAGAGGGAUGUGGAAUUCCAGGUGUAGCGGUGAAAUGCGUAGAUAUCUGGAGGAAUACCGGUGGCGAAGGCGGCAUCCUGGACCGAGAUUGACACUGAUGAGCGAAAGCUAGGGGAGCAAACGGG
This 253-nucleotide ribosomal RNA is filed under the name uncultured bacterium. RNAcentral describes it as "partial 16S ribosomal RNA". It matches the Rfam family "Bacterial small subunit ribosomal RNA", at positions 524 to 776 of the family's 1533-position model. The record is from RNAcentral.